Molecule: long non-coding RNA, 1326 nt
Organism: Syngnathus acus (greater pipefish)
Lineage: Eukaryota; Metazoa; Chordata; Actinopteri; Syngnathiformes; Syngnathidae
Exons: 4
Source: RefSeq, a predicted model, not a curated record
UUGCUCAUUGUCUUGGGACGCCAAACAGGUUUCCUGUGGGGUGUUACCAAGUUGAGUUCCUUGACCUCUAAAAUGAUCUUAAGGUGUCUUGACCUUUGUGCCUUAUUCUUGUUUGCUUUUAUUCUCAAGUGCUCUCACACACUAUCUCACGCUUUCCAUUGGCUUUUUAUGCGCCAAUAAAACGUACACUUGAGCUUGAAGUCACUCAUUCAGCACAUCAGCCAAGAUGCAUUUCUUUCUUUUUAGAUUUUUCCUACGUUGACUUUUACAUGCUUGCUAUUGUUCCAAAGAGGCUGAUUGGACGUGGUUAUGACGUGCCGUCAGGUCCUGGUUCCAGAUCAAACACACCAGCAGCUGUCGUUGGCUUCGACCGAGGUUUGGCUGACCAACGGCGUCUCUCGUCGCCUUUCAAACAACAGACAUUAUCUUCAUCGGCACGUCGGCCGCCCGGGAGGCCUGCGGAGCGCACGGCUGGGUAACACCUGUCCCCUCAAAAGGGGAAGGGCUGAGAAGCUACGAAAAUGUGACAGUAAGACAAACACAGCGAGGGCUCAAAGCGCUCUCGCCGCUCGGUGCGGCGCAGCUGAGAGCCAUCCAAGCCGCUGAUGGACUUUCCAGCCAAUCUCUUCUCCACUUUCCACCACCCUGCCAACGAGCAACAAAAACCCCGGUCUCUUUCCUGGCGCUGACCGCGACCCCGGGCGGGGGGGCGAUCGGAGUCGAACCCAACAUUAGAGCUGCACCGUACGUGUCAGCCGAUGAUGGAGCCAAGCAGCUAAUUCUCCGCCGUGCCGCCCUCCGACGUGUCCCGCGCGUAACCUCGCCGGGACGGGCCUCCGCGUUCGGCGCGCCUGGAGCUGUCGCCGCACGCCACCGCCACAACACGCUGCCUUAUAAAGACAGGUCACAUUUCAGUCAAAGUCGAGGAGCGGCUGACCUCAGCUGUCCCGUGAGCCGCACCCUGUGAGCCGCUGGAACUGCUGACAGGGAUGACAUCAUCACGGUGAUACCAGUCAGAGGCGCUUGUUCGCAUGUAAGACGCCUCCUUUUUGUUGGCUCAUUUCAGAUGAAGAGAUCGAUUUAGUCAUUUCGGAAAAAAACAGAUGUUAGUUGGUCAUCUGUUAUGUUUUCGAGAAAAGCAGCUGAUGAGAUGUCAUUUGGAGUCAUGCGAUUUGAUCAACUCAACCAGGAAGAGUUCCACUUUUUAUGAGCAAUUUUGUUUGUCAUAUCAUCGACAAUAUACAACUGGCGGAGCUAGAAGGGGGGUGCAAGGGGCACUUCCUCCCCCAUAGGGAAACAUAUAUUGAAUCUUUAUCAGUGUUUUCU